GAGCCUUUCGUCAUGGUUGACUUAGUUCUUCAUUUAGUUCCGAGAUUGUUAACUGAUACUUAUUUGGUUAUGUCAUAUAAUGUGAUUCAACAGCAGUCUCCCGUCUUUAAAAUGCCAUUGGUAAAGGAAAAGGUCAAAAUUAUCUCAUAUCUAUAUUAUCUCAUUUCAUAUAUUUUUAUGUCUAAGUGCUGGUAAAAAAUGAGAGUCUAUUAAGCUGCCUUUUUUUUUACUAGAUAUCUGUCC
Molecule: long non-coding RNA, 243 nt
Filed under: Lathyrus oleraceus (garden pea)
Lineage: Eukaryota; Viridiplantae; Streptophyta; Magnoliopsida; Fabales; Fabaceae
Description: Pisum sativum (pea) long non-coding RNA (PSAT_LNC039820)
Source: RNAcentral